This 77-nucleotide transfer RNA is filed under the name Armatimonadota bacterium. RNAcentral describes it as "tRNA-Arg". It matches the Rfam family "tRNA". From Rfam's summary of the family: Transfer RNA (tRNA) molecules are approximately 80 nucleotides in length. Lineage: Bacteria; Bacillati; Armatimonadota. The record is from RNAcentral.
GGCCUCGUAGCUCAGCGGAUUAGAGUGUCAGCCUCCGAAGCUGAAGGUCGCCCGUUCGAAUCGGGCCGAGGCCGCCA